This is a non-coding RNA of Salmo salar (Atlantic salmon), 54 nucleotides long. NCBI's taxonomy places the organism in Eukaryota, Metazoa, Chordata, Actinopteri, Salmoniformes, Salmonidae. The record is from Rfam.
GACAACGAUAUUUGUAAGUCGCUCUGGAUAAGAGCUUCUGCUAAAUCACGUAAA